Etheostoma cragini (Arkansas darter) is the source of this 2599-nucleotide RNA transcript. It is a transcript of the gene named heterogeneous nuclear ribonucleoprotein K, like, with no coding region annotated. The record is from RefSeq and is a predicted model, not a curated record. Lineage: Eukaryota; Metazoa; Chordata; Actinopteri; Perciformes; Percidae. The transcript is spliced from 16 exons.
UUUGAUAAAUUCUUCUGCGUGGCCACACGGGUACAUCGAGUCCUCUCUGGGUAUGUAAUGUGUAAUAGUCCCGCCCGUCUGUGCUGACUUGACGUGCGUAAGUAACAACCCCCCUGAGAGUGUCGACGAAUCGUGUUCAUCGUCUUCUCUCCGUGCUGAAAACGUGCAAUCGUUUCUGGGCGAGGAAACAGUGGAGCACCGCAGUGAACGUGGCUUUGCUGCAGCAGAUCCAGGGUGAGGAGCCUGUUUGCAUUCCAUUGCAAUUGCAAAACAAUGGAGGUGAAGCUUGAACAGCAGGACGAAGAUAUAACAUUCAGCAACACUGACACUAAUGGUAAACGGCCAGCUGAGGACAUGGAAGAAGAGCAGGCCUUUAAACGUUCUCGCAACGCAGACGAGAUGGUCGAGCUGCGUGUUUUGCUUCAGAGCAAAAAUGCCGGUGCUGUUAUCGGAAAGGGUGGCAAGAACAUAAAAGCCCUACGCACAGACUACAAUGCCAGUGUAUCAGUCCCAGACAGCAGUGGCCCAGAGCGGAUCCUGAGUGUGAAUGCCAGCAUCGACACUAUUGGAGAUAUACUGCUAAAAAUCAUACCAACUCUAGAAGAGUACCAGCAUUACAGUGGGAUUGAUUUUGACUCUGAGCUUCGACUGCUGAUCCAUCAGAGCUUGGCAGGGGGCAUCAUCGGGGUAAAAGGUGCCAAGAUAAAGGAGCUGAGAGAGAACACCCAGACCACCAUCAAGCUGUUCCAGGAGUGUUGUCCACACUCCACUGACCGAGUCGUCUUGGUGGGAGGAAAGCCAGAACGGGUCAUUGAAUGUAUAAAAGUGAUCCUGGAGCUGGUCUCAGAGGCGCCAAUCAAAGGUCGCGCCCAACCUUAUGACCCUAAUUUCUACGAUGAGACUUACGACUACGGCGGUUUCACUAUGUUAUUCGAGGAGAGAGGCAGACGACCCAUUGGUGGCUUCCCCAUUCGUGUGCGUGGGAGCUUUGAGCGCAUGCCCCCGGUUCGUGGCAACAGACCUGUACCUCCCUCCAGAAGGGACUACGAUGACAUAAGCCCCCGUCGGGGUCCUCCACCUCCGCUGAGCCGAGGUGGACGAGGGGGCAGCCGAGCACGUAAUCUGCCUCUUCCCCCACCACCACCGCCAAGAGGAGGGGGAGACAGGUUCUCACAUGGCAGCUAUCACGGCGGCAUGGAUGAUAGACCAAGUGACAGAAGAGGCCGAGGAGGAGACCGUUAUGACAGCAUGAGUGGAGGUGUAUAUGACAACAAUUCUUCCUGGGAGCACUUUCAGUCUGGUGGCAGAGGCUCAUACAGUGAUAUUGGAGGCCCAGUCAUCACAACACAAGUCACCAUACCAAAAGAUCUGGCUGGCUCCAUCAUCGGUAAGGGCGGCCAGAGGAUCAAGCAGAUCCGCCAUGAAUCUGGGGCCUCCAUCAAGAUUGAUGAACCACUAGAGGGCUCUGAGGACCGCAUCAUCACCAUCACAGGAACACAGGACCAGAUCCAGAACGCCCAGUACCUGCUGCAGAACAGGCAUGUGCUCCUGUGACUCCCCAAACAACUCGUCUCAUUGGAGACAUGGCCUGUAGGCUCGUUCACCACUGGAUGGAAUGUGAGGCAGUACUCUGGGCGGUUCUUCUAGGAAGAGGGGAUGUGAAGAAGAGUGAAGCCAUGCCGCCAUACUGUUUCCUCCUCCUAUUCAGAGCCUACAUUCCUCUGCUUUGCCUCCUCCCCUCGCACGCUACACCAUUGAUCUACAAAUCAGUUUUUAUUUAGAAAAAAAAAAUACUUUGACAGCAAUGGAGUCAACGUGUUUCUGUGCUGUUGUAAUUCUUUUUAUGAGACUAUUGUGCCGUCAUUGGAGUAAACUCGUGUGAUAACAAUUGGUGUUGUGAGCUGCCCUGGGCCCUUAUCUCCUUCAUUUCUAUACAGCAUGCAGAAUGUAAUCUUUUUGUAAGGAACGUUAUGUGAGGAUUUUUUUUUCUCUCAGCCCCCCCCACCCCCAAAUGUUAAUGCACAUUCUAAAUAAAGAUGAAUGGUUAAAGAACCAUUGAAAUAAACUUUAAUUUUUACAUAAUAUCCUUUUCCACUUUCAAAUGAAGUGCUUUUUGUAGGGUUGGCUUUAAUGGAGUAGUUUGACAUUUUGAGUAAUAUGCUUAUUUGUCUUUGUGCUAGGCUAACCGGCUGCUAGCAGUAACCUUCGUCAACGCUGUGGUAGGCAAUUUAUUUUGGGCUUUAUUGGGCAACAUGUUCAUUAUAAUCUCUCGGCAUAUUGUAAUUUAAAUGGUCUGAGAGAAAACUAGACUUCAGCACCUUAUCUGGGCUCUGUUUUUAGGUUUUAGAAAACUAGCUGUGACAGGAGACUUUGGUCUUGGUAAGUCCUUUCGGAGAAAGAGAGAGUUCCAGUUGGCUGUUCUGCGCAUGCAUUUCCCAGGGAAACCUGGAGCUGCAGAAAGAGGUCUCACUCAGAUUCUGGCUUUUUUUUGGCAUUCUACCCAAUGCAGCUUAAACUCUUUAUCAGAUAUUGAAUAGGCCUAUUUCCUAAAAUGUCAUACUUUUGCUUUAAGUUGAGAUAAAUGUGCCAGUGUGAUAUA